UACACACCGCCCGUCACACCAUGGGAGUCAGUUGCUCCAGAAACGGCUGCGCUAACCCGCAAGGGGGGCAGGUCUUUAAGGAGUGACUGGUAACUGGGGUG
This 101-nucleotide ribosomal RNA is filed under the name uncultured bacterium. Its description in RNAcentral is "partial 16S ribosomal RNA". It matches the Rfam family "Bacterial small subunit ribosomal RNA", at positions 1384 to 1482 of the family's 1533-position model. The record is from RNAcentral.